AUGUUUAAGUGGGUGACUCGGCGAGUCCAUAUUCUGGACUCGGUGAGUCCCUGCUGUCUGAUGAAACCCUAAAUUUCAAGGGUUUGCACCCUAUUUAAACCAAUCUUAUGCGCCCCAAGCUCGCCCCCUUCACCCUCAAAGCUCUCUACUUCGUCCAAGCCUUUUUACUUGUGAGAUUGAAGCAUUUUGGUGUGUUUUCUUGAAGAUUUUGAGAGGAAAGGAGAGUAGAUCAAGAAGAGAAGACGGAGGCCCGACAUCUUGGUGUUACUUCAGUGAUUUCCUUGAGGUAUAACUCAGUUUCCCUCUGUUUUCAUACUUAUAGUUCCUUAUAGCUCCAUGAAAGUCCUUCUAGAGCCUUUCCCCAAGCUUGAUUGUGUAUUCGGGUUUGUAAUAAGUUGUUUAGCCUCUAGAUCUAGGCAUGAUUGAGCUCCAGGAGCUUAGAUCUACUGCCUUUAUGGAGCCAUAUUGCAUGAAAGCCCUAGAUCUACUCUUUUAGUGCAUUUUGAGCCCUAAAACCUUCAUUGGUGUUUAUUUACACGUAAAGUUGGAAACUUUACAUUUUAAUCGAGCCCUAGAAACCCAGAUCUAUGAAUGGCAUGAGCUGGAUUCAAGCAAAAUCGAGUAUAUAGUAUUUUCAUGUGACAGACUCGGCGGGUCGUUCAUCGGACUCGGCGAGUCGAGUCGCGAGUCCCCGAGUUUUCCCCCUUUUCGUGUUUGCAGGGUAUAGUAGUGAGUCAUGGGGUGUGACUCUGUGAGUCGGAAGCCAGACUCACCCAUGAAGGAACUCGGCGAGUCAGUGCCCUGACUCGGCGAGUUCAAGGCAAUCUUCUUGCCUCAAGAACAGACCUGGCGAGUUGUUCAUACAACUCGGCGAGUCUCAGCGUAGCAUGUUCUUCGGAUGAUGAUGAACUCGACGAGUUGUUCAUACAACUCGGCGAGUAGGAUGAAGGACUAUUGGACCUUGGUUUAGAAGGAAAACUCGUCGAGUCAAUGCCUAACUCGACGAGUAGAGACGGGAUNNNNNNNNNNNNNGAGUUAGCAAGCCAACUCGGCGAGUCGGGUCAACUGGAAGUUGACUUUGACUUUGACUCUUGGUUUGGUUAAGGGUAAAUGGUCAUUUUACCCUGAGGUCGUUUAGCAGUAUUUGACUGAGUGUUUUGUGGGGAUUAUAGUCGGAGGAUUCCCGGGGCAGCAGCUGCCGGAGACAGUUAGUUCCCACACAGAACAAUAGCUACUUUGAGGUGAGUUACCUUCCAGUAGCGGUGGGUCUACGGCCACAAUUCCGGCCCACCAUUAGGAGUUGUAUGAUAGAUGAUUGUCUCUGUGAUAUUCAUCUAGGGUUGCUACUACCCGUGAUAUGUUAUUGUGCUAGUAUGAUAUGAUGUUAUGUCCCAGUGACAGUAGGGGGGGAGGUAGUCCCCCAGAUUACCGGUCGAUAGGGCCGAAGGGGUGGUCAUGCCCAGCCAUGCUAGAUAGAUUUCGUGAUAUAUAUGUUAUGUGGUCGUAGUAGGGGGUGAAAUAGUCCCCAGUAACCGGUCGAGAGGACCGAAGGGGAUACCAGCACCCAGAUAUGCUAGUCAAUAUCCGGUCGAGAGGACUGAAGGGGAGGCAAGCUCCCAGAUAUAUUGGUUAGUAUCCGGUCGAGAGGACCGAAGGGGAGGCGAGCUCCCACAUAUACUAGACAGUAUCCGGUCGAGAGGACCGAAGGGGUAGGUCGGGCACCCAGAUAUGUCUGACAAUAUAUGUAUGUUAUAUGAUUGAAUGGUAUGUGGUAUGUUGGGGGAACUCACUAAGCUUCAUGCUUACAGUUUUCAGUUUUAGUUUUAGGUACCUCUUCUUCGAAGGGGAAGGAGCUAGCGCGGUAGCAGCCCAUCACACACAUGCCUUGUAUUCCGCACUAUGAGAUCCUCCUGGGAAUUUGUACUCUGACAUUAUUAUGUUUUAUAAAAUGUUUUUCAAGACAUGCGAUAACUUUUAUGAAAUGAUAUGAUUGGUGAACGUUUUAUUUCUAAUGUUUGCUAAGUAUAUGUUUUAAAAAUGAAAUUUUUGACUCGUAUUUUUGGGACGUUACAAGUUGGUAUCAGAGCCCUGGUUUGAGGGAUUCGGACACACCUUCGGGGGUGUCUUAACUCAAAUCGAGGGAUUAAAAGAUUUUAAAGAAGAGAAAUAUUUCCUAAAAAUCUAAUUAAAGAGUUUUAAGAAGGAACGAAGUGUGUGAUGUGCGCGACCGACCGAGCUCAAAUAAGUAUUCCCCAAAGUACCCAUACCAGCUUAUGUUAUGUUUAUCAGUUUCAGUAGAACAGCAUGCUAGAAUAGGACUAAGGAUGUAGGAGUGAUGCCUUAUGUGCCUGCUUUAUGUGCUUCAGUGUAUGAAAAUUGCAUGCUAGAAUUGAGUAGACAGCAGUAGGAUAGUCUGUUAGGGUUAUGCCUGAUAGUAUGGGUUUAGCAAUGUAUGCUAGUUCAACUUUUCUCUAUGAGGACGGAUUUGCUUGAGAUUGUUCCCUUUUCUCCUAAUGUUGCUUGCUUUGUGCUUCGGGGGACUCUGAGCGAUGGAGUUAGAUAUUAGGUGAAUACGUCACGUCACAGGUGAUUAGGAUUGAAUAAUCUUAGAGUGUUGGAUCUGGCCCUAUUGCGCAGCUCUUGUCUGAGUCUAACCGUUGUAGGGACGAUUCUGUUACUCGAAGGAUUAUCUGAGCCUCACCACAUGUGAUGGUAUUCAGGUAAUGACUAAUUGACAUUACAAGGAGGCCUUCAGCAGCUAAGGACCGGGUAGGGUAGAGUUAGAGAUUUUCCUGGGGAAAGCCUAGGAUGAGUAUAGUAGUGAUCAGUGGUAGUGAAAGGGACCUGGUGGAGUCAAGGCAGUCCUUGGAGAAGGUACAGAUAGAUGUGGAAGGUAGUAUGGGCCCGUACUACUGAAAGCAGAGGAUUCGUACCCGAACCGAGGAAGGCCAAGAUAAGACCAGGAAACUUGUAGUAGUUGUGAUCCCUCCAGAGGUAUCGGUAUCGCUAACAAUUAUUAUUUAUGUAUUUCAGAAUGGUGGUACUACGCUCGAGGCCAGCUGUUGGCAGUACAGGAGAGGGAUCAGGUUCGGGAUCAGGUUCGGAGCCAGUAGAUGAGGGGCUACGCGAGUUCAUCACGUCAGAGAUCACUAGAGGCAUUCUUGAGUCGACUCCCAUUAUCUUCGGGUCGAUCAAGGAAGGGAUAUUGGAGUUGAUGGAGGAUCGCCUCAGGGCAUUCAGGAGCGACAUUGCAUCUGGCCAGUCGGGAUCUCGCACAUUGUCCUUCAAGGACUUCCGGGGCAGUGGUGCGCCGGAUUUUCACGGGGCGAAGGACCCCAUAGCUGCCAGGAGAUGGAUUGCAGACAUUGAGUCUACACAGUUCACUAGCUUCUGCCCUGAGGGGCCAAAGGUGAGAUAUGCAACAGGAUGUUUAAGAGAUCGAGCUAGGGAUUGGUGGGAGUCCGUUGGUGACUAGUUGGGAGCCUCGGCUGUCGAGGAUAUGACCUGGUCGGACUUCGUGACCAGGUUCAGGGCAGAGUUUGCGCCGGCUGUCGAGCUUCAGUAGCUGGCCAGGGAGUUCCUAGAUAUGAGACAUACAACGGAGGCUAUGGCGGAGAUCACCGCCAAGUUCCGGGAGAGGGCGUUGCUGGUGCCCCAGUACGCGGGUGAUGAGGAUAUGAGGAGGACCCGCUAUCAUGACAUGCUGCGAGCUGAUAUUUGGGAGCAUGUCAGUUUUUCAGCUUGCCCUACCCUGGACUCUAUGAUUGCCAGGGCAAGGGAGAUGGAGAUAGAUCUGGAGCACAUCCGGAAGAGGAAGGAGGAGGAUGGGCAUGUUAUGGGGGCUUCGGGGAAGAAGCCCAAGGGACCAGAUGCAGGGCCGAAAGGCCAACAGGGGCGGGGCCGCUGCAGAAAAUGCGGCAAGACGCACAAGGGAUCAUGCAAGUUAGGACCGUCAGGCUGCUACAAGUGUGGCAAGUUAGAGCACUUCAGCAAGGAUUGUACCGCCCCUGAACCUGUGAUUCAGACAUCCGAGUUGCUGUGUUUCCACUGCAACCCGAGGGGCCACAAGAAGGCCAAUUGCCCCCAGUUGACAGCAUCAGCGGCCGGUUAAGGCGCCAGCUCCAGCUACCCUGUGGAUUACAGAUGGUCGGCAGGGCAAGGCAGAGGCUCCCGGGGGGAGGAGUCGGGCGUUUCAGCUGACUACAGAGGAGGCUCACGCCGCACCCGAUAUGGUGACGGGUAUGAUUCUUUCCCUCUAUCUUAUUUUUUUAUGAUGUUAUGAUAUUGAUAUGUGCUCUAUGUAUAUGCGUUAGGAUCGUUCCAUGUGAACGGUAUUCCUGUUCAGGUGUUGUCUGACUCGGGUGCCACCUGAUCAUUUGUUUCCCUUGCGCUUAGCAAGAGGUUUACUGAGUCUUCGGACAUGUUGGAUUUCCCUUUAGAGGUAGAGAUUGCCGAUGAUCGAUCGGUGCGAGGGUCAGCAGUGUUCAGGGAUUGUGUCCUAAGGUUAUUUGCGGAGCGCUAUUUGGUGGAUUUGGUUCCCAUCCUUUUGCGGGGGAACAAGGUGAUUAUAGACAUGGAUUGGUUGAGCCCUAAUGGGGCAGUGAUAGGUUGUGCACAGUAGUUACUGUGGAUCAGGACCCCAAGUGGGGGACAGUUGGUUAUCCACGGCGAGAGGCCACAGCGUGGACCUACAGUAUGUUCAGCAGCAAGAGCUAGGCGCUACCUUCAGUAGGGUUGCGCAGGAUAUGUCGCGUAUGUUAUGGAUACUCGGGAGACGGGUAAGGCGACGGUGAGCGAGGUUCCAGUGGUGCGAGACUACACUGAUGUGUUCCCGGAGGAGCUUCCUGGAAUACCUCUGGAGUGUCAGGUAGAGUUCAGGAUCGACCUAGUUCCCGGUGCGGCUCCGAUAGCCAAGGCACCAUAUCGGUUGGCUCCUCCCGAGAUGCAUGAGUUGUCUACGCAGCUGCAGGAGCUGCUAGACACGGGAUUUAUUCUACCGAGCAGUUCACCCUAGGGAGCCCCGGUCAUGUUUGUGAAGAAGAAGAAGGAUGGGUCGCACCAGAUAUGUAUAGAUUACUGGGAGCUGAAUAAGGUGACGGUGAAGAACCGUUACCCACUCCCGAGGAUUGAUGACCUCUUUGAUCAGUUACAGGGAGCAUCUUGGUUCUCCAAGAUCGAUUUGCGUUCAGGUUAUCAUCAGAUGAGGUUCAGAGAGGAGGAUGUACAGAAGACCACAUUUCGGACGCGUUAUGACCAUUAUGAGUUCGUGGUGAUGUCGUUUGGGCUCACCAAUGCUCCUGUCGCGUUCAUGGAGCUCAUGAACCGCGUGUGUAGACCGAUGUUGGAUCGGUCUGUGAUAGGUUUCAUUGAUGACAUCUUGGUUUAUUCCAAGAUGCUGGAGGAGCACGAGGAGCAUCUGAGAGAGGUUUUGGAGACCUUGAGGAGAGAGAGCUUGUACGCCAAGUUCUCCAAAUGUGUGUUUUGGUUGUGCAAGGUGCAGUUUCGUGGGCACCUCAUCAACCAGAACAGGAUUUCAGUAGACCCGGCCAAGUUGGAGGCCGUGAUGAGGUAGGAGGUUCCGAAGUCUCCAUCCGAGAUUUGAAGUUUCCUAGGAUUAGCAGGCUACUAUCGGAGAUUCAUUCAGGAUUUCUCCAAGAUAGCCGUACCCCUGACACGGUUGACUAGGAAAGCCGUGGUCUUUCGAUGGGGGCCAGAGCAGCAGGCCGCGUUCGAGAUUCUGAGGUAGAGAUUGUGCGAGGCGCCAAUCUUAGCCCUGCCUGAGGGUGUAGAGGAUUUUGUGGUAUUCUGUGAUGCAUCUAUCUUGGGCUUAGGCGUAGUAUUGACUCAGAGGGGACAUGUCAUUGCUUAUGCCUCGAGGCAGCUGAAGCCUCACGAGGCGAACAACCCGACGCAUGAUUUAGAGUUGGGGGCGGUGGUCUUCUCCCUCAAGAUUUGGCGGCAUUACCUCUACGGGGUUCGAUGUACCAUUUACACGAACCACAAGAGUUUGAGGUACCUCAUGGAUCAGCCGAAUCUGAACAUGAGGCAGCGUCGGUGGUUGGACGUGGUGAAGGAUUAUGAUUGCGAGAUCCUCUAUCAUCCGGGGAAGGCCACCGUCGUGGCCGAUGCGCUUAGCCGUAAGGCGGCACCGAUCAGGGAUGUGUGUAUGAGGAUGACGGUGGUGACUCCACUGUUAGAGCAGAUUUGGGAAGCUCAACAGGAGGCUAUAAAGGAGGGAAUAGUGGGUCAAGUCACCUCCUUCGAUUAUGAUAGCCGAGGGUUAUUGACAUUACACUGUAGGGUGUGGGUUCCGUAUCACGGAGGCGUGCGCCAAAUCUUGAUGGAGGAGGCACACAAGUCCUGAUUCUCUAUUCAUCCAGGGGCGACGAAGAUGUAUCGGGAUCUUCGUCUAGACUAUUGGUGGCCCUGCAUGAAGCGGGAUGUGGCGUGGUACGUCGAGCGGUGUUUGACCUGCAGGAAGGUCAAGGUCGAGCAUAAGAGACCGCACAACAAGAUGCAGCCGUUGGAUAUCCCGUUGUGGAAAUGGGAUGAUAUUACGAUGGAUUUUAUCACAAAGCUUCCCCGGACGGCACGAGGAGUAGAUUCGAUUUGGGUCAUCGUGGAUCGGUUGACCAAGAACACCCAUUUUAUUCCGAUUCAAGUGAGUAUCUCGGCCGAAAAGUUGGCCGAUAUCUAUAUCAGGGAGAUAGUGGCGCGGCACGGGGUGCCAGUGUCAGUGAUAUCAGAUCGAGAUGUGCGGUUCACUUCCAAGUUUUGGAAGAAGUUUCAUGAUGAGUUGGGCACUCGUCUACAUUUUAGCACCGCCUUUCAGCCGCAGACGGAUGUUUAGAGCGAGCGGACCAUCCAGACGUUGGAGGAUAUGUUGCGGGCUUGCGUGCAAGACUUCGGUGGUAGUUGGGAUACCUAUCUUCCCUUGGCUGAGUUCUCGUACAACAACAGCUAACACGCGAGUAUUGACCGUCCCCCAUUCGAGAUGUUGUAUGGAAGGAGGUGCAUGACCCCGAUAUGUUGGGGUGAAGUUGGCCAGAGGGUCAUGGGGAGCACCGAGGUGGUGCUCAAGACGACCGAGAGAAUCCAGCACGUUUGAAGCAGGCUUCAGACUGCGCAGAGUCGAAAGAAAAGUUACGCCGACAAGCGUCGAUCAGACCUGGAGUUCCAGGUCGGGGAUAUGGUUCUCCUAAAAGUGUCACCUUGGAAAGCCGUCAUUCGUUCAGGAAGCGGGGCAAGUUGGGCCAGAGAUUCAUUGGUCCGUUCAGGGUUGCAUCUCGGGUGGGCAAGGUGGCAUAUAGGCUAGAUCUGCCAGCCGAACUUAGUCAGAUCCACAGCACCUUCCAUGUCUCCCAGCUGCGGGAGUGCCAAGUGGAUGAUUCAGCGGUGGUGCCGCUAGAGGAUAUACAGGUUGAUGACAGGCUGAAUUACAUUGAGCGCCCAGUCGCAAUCCUCGACCGGAAGUCGAAGGAUCUGAGGAACAAGAGGGUGGAAUUAGUAAAGGUGCAAUGGCAGCACCGAAAGGGUUCGGAAUGGACUUGGGAGCCGGUGGAAGAAAUGAUGGAGCAUUACCCCGAGCUGUUUCAGGAUCGAGCAGCAGACUUUGAGGACGAAGUCUAAAAUAAGUGGGGGAGAUUUGUAGCACCUGGUUCCUGGUACGUAAAAUUUAUCUAAGUGUUUUGCAUUUUCAACCUUGGACUCGGCGAGUUGUAGGCCCGACUCACCGAGUAGAGACAGGAUUUCGAACACGUUUAAGUUGGCGACUCGGCGAGUCCAUAUUUUGGACUCGGCAAGUCCCCUCUGUCUAAUGAAACCCUAAAUUUCAAGGGUUUGCACCCUAUUUAAACCAACCUUAUGCGCCCCAAGCUCGCCCCCUUCACCCUCAAAGCUCUCUACUUCGUCCAAGCCUUGUUCCUUGUGAGAUUGAAGCAUUUUGGUGUGUUUUCUUGAAGAUUUUGAGAGGAAAGGAGAGUAGAUCAAGAAGAGAAGACGGAGGCCAGGCAUCUUGGUGUUACUUCAAUGAUUUCCUUGAGGUAUAACUCCGUUUCCCUCUGUUUUCAUGCUUAUAGUUGCUUAUAGCUCCAUGAAAGUCCUUCUUGAGCCUUUCCCCAAGCUUGAUUGUGUAUUAGGGUUUGUAAUAAGUUGUUUAGCCUCUAGAUCUAGGCAUGAUUGAGCUCCAGGAGUUUGGAUCUACUGCCUUUAAGGAGCCAUAUUGCAUGAAAGCCCUAGACCUACUCUUUUAGUGCAUUUUGAGCC
RNAcentral lists this long non-coding RNA (8265 nucleotides) under Lactuca sativa (garden lettuce). RNAcentral's name for it is "long non-coding RNA (LSAT_LNC007964)". The record is from RNAcentral. Lineage: Eukaryota; Viridiplantae; Streptophyta; Magnoliopsida; Asterales; Asteraceae.